Molecule: long non-coding RNA, 487 nt
Organism: Gymnodraco acuticeps
Lineage: Eukaryota; Metazoa; Chordata; Actinopteri; Perciformes; Bathydraconidae
Exons: 4
Source: RefSeq, a predicted model, not a curated record
GCUAGCUACUGUCUGCUGUACGCAUAGAUAUAUAUAAACACUAGAUGGCUCAUGGGAGAUUUUCCAGCGUAGCUCACCGGCCGCCAUCUUGCUACAGUCAACAGCUACUCUGGUACGCGCUAUGGUAGCUGUUGUAAGAAAUACCUGACUAUGCCUGACUUUUGUGCAGCCUACGGCUGCUCUAAUCGCCGCAGUCUGCAAACAAGAACCCGUGGAAUCACCUUUCACGUGUUUCCCAAAACCGGAGAGAGGAGGAGGCAGUGGGAACUCGCCCUAAGAAGGGACGGUUUUGUUUCCUCUGGCAGGACGCUGCUCUGCAGUGAGCACUUCAGGAGUGAGGACUUUGACAGGACGGGGCAGACUGUCCGGCUUAAAGAUGGUGUUGUGCCAACAGUAUUCAAUUUCCCAGCUCAUCUUCAAAGGCCGGAAGCAACAAGAAGCACAACCACUUCAAGAAGAGCGGAAGAUGAACCUCAGGCUAAUGUUG